RNAcentral lists this ribosomal RNA (494 nucleotides) under uncultured bacterium. RNAcentral's name for it is "bacterial SSU rRNA". It matches the Rfam family "Bacterial small subunit ribosomal RNA", at positions 34 to 507 of the family's 1533-position model. The record is from RNAcentral.
CGCUGGCGGCGUGCCUAAUACAUGCCAGUCGAGCGGAAUGAAGAAGAAGCUUGCUUCUUCUGAUUUUAGCGGCGGACGGGUGAGUAACACGUGGGCAACCUACCUUGUAGAUUGGGAUAACUCCGGGAAACCGGGGCUAAUACCGAAUAAUCCAUUUUGCUUCAUGGCGAGAUGUUAAAAGGCGGCUUCGGCUGUCACUACGAGAUGGGCCCGCGGCGCAUUAGCUAGUUGGUAGGGUAAUGGCCUACCAAGGCGACGAUGCGUAGCCGACCUGAGAGGGUGAUCGGCCACACUGGGACUGAGACACGGCCCAGACUCCUACGGGAGGCAGCAGUAGGGAAUCUUCCACAAUGGACGAAAGUCUGAUGGAGCAACGCCGCGUGAGUGAAGAAGGUUUUCGGAUCGUAAAACUCUGUUGUAAGGGAAGAACACGUACGAGAGUAACUGCUCGUACCUUGACGGUACCUUAUUAGAAAGCCACGGCUAACUACGUG